RNAcentral lists this ribosomal RNA (171 nucleotides) under uncultured bacterium. RNAcentral describes it as "partial 16S ribosomal RNA". It matches the Rfam family "Bacterial small subunit ribosomal RNA", at positions 524 to 691 of the family's 1533-position model. The record is from RNAcentral.
UACGGAGGGUGCAAGCGUUAAUCGGAUUUACUGGGCGUAAAGCGUGCGUAGGUGGUUUGUUAAGUCAGUUGUGAAAUCCCAGGGCUCAACCUUGGAAUUGCAUCUGAUACUGGCAGACUAGAGAUCGGUAGAGGUUAGUGGAAUUCCAGGUGUAGGCGGUAGAAAAUGCGU